GGAGAGGUGUCCGAGCGGCUGAAGGAACGCGACUGGAAAUCGCGUAUACGGGCAACCGUAUCAGGAGUUCGAAUCUCCUCCUCUCCG
RNAcentral lists this transfer RNA (87 nucleotides) under Phycisphaerales bacterium. RNAcentral describes it as "tRNA-Ser". It matches the Rfam family "tRNA". Rfam says of the family: Transfer RNA (tRNA) molecules are approximately 80 nucleotides in length. Their secondary structure includes four short double-helical elements and three loops (D, anti-codon, and T loops). Further hydrogen bonds mediate the characteristic L-shaped molecular structure. tRNAs have two regions of fundamental functional importance: the anti-codon, which is responsible for specific mRNA codon recognition, and the 3' end, to which the tRNAs corresponding amino acid is attached (by aminoacyl-tRNA synthetases). tRNAs cope with the degeneracy of the genetic code in two manners: having more than one tRNA (with a specific anti-codon) for a particular amino acid; and 'wobble' base-pairing, i.e. permitting non-standard base-pairing at the 3rd anti-codon position. Lineage: Bacteria; Pseudomonadati; Planctomycetota; Phycisphaerae; Phycisphaerales. The record is from RNAcentral. RNAcentral also lists the same sequence under 1 other name.